CAAUAGCGUAUAUUUAAGUUGUUGCAGUUAAAAAGCUCGUAGUUGGAUUUUGGGUGUGGCAGGCCGGUCCGCCGUUUCGGUGUGCACUGGCAGGCGGCAUCUUUCUGUCGAGGACGCGGUCCGGGUAUGGCUAACGUAUCUGGACGCGGAGUCGGCGCAGUUACUUUGAAAAAAUUAGAGUGUUCAAAGCGGGCCUACGCUUGAAUAUAUUAGCAUGGAAUAACACUAUAGGACUCCUGUCCUAUUCUGUUGGUCUUCGGGAUGGGAGUAAUGAUUAAGAGGAACAGUUGGGGGCAUUCGUAUUUCAUUGUCAGAGGUGAAAUUCUUGGAUUUAUGAAAGACGAACUUCUGCGAAAGCAUUUGCCAAGGAUGUUUUCAUUAAUCAAGAACGAAAGUUAGGGGAUCAAAGACGAUUAGAUACCAU
Molecule: ribosomal RNA, 424 nt
Filed under: uncultured eukaryote
Lineage: Eukaryota
Description: SSU rRNA
Rfam family: Eukaryotic small subunit ribosomal RNA
Source: RNAcentral